AUGAGUUUGUAAAUUAUUUUCUUUCUUGCCUUGUAAAUUUGAGUUCAGAUUUCCUAUAGUUUGAUUCAUUUAUAAAUUAUUAAUUUGAUCGGAAAUUUUGAGUCGAAUGUAGUUGUAUUUGACGAAAGCCGUUAAGUUGAGCUGGCCAGUGAGACCGGUGAGAUGUUGAGGAAGGGCUACUGCUACAUCUAUUGUCAUUCGAUAGAUGAAAUGCUGAGUCGAGAUGCAAGUCUGUAUCCAGUCAGUUAUACAAGGAAUGCAAUUGAAGUCAACCAUGAAGAUAUGCAAAGUCAAAUUCGAUGAUUCUUUGCUCGACUUCAUUAUCAUGUAUGGCGUGUGUUCGUGCUGGUGCUGUAUAUAUGACUCGUGUUUAUACAUGUAGAGAAACAAAUUUGAGAUUAUUAAUGUUUAGAUUGUCUCUGCAAAUGGCUGUGGAAUGAUUAUUAUGAUUGAUUUUAUGAUGAUGUAAUUAUUACUAUCUUGGUUUAAGGGUUUUGUGAUUAUGUCAUAAGUUAAGGUGACUCGAGAAACUCUGGCUCACUAUUUUUUUACCAAGUGUAAAUUUGAAAUUGAUUAGUGAUGUAACAAGGU
Non-coding RNA from Erythranthe guttata (spotted monkey flower), 591 nucleotides. NCBI's taxonomy places the organism in Eukaryota, Viridiplantae, Streptophyta, Magnoliopsida, Lamiales, Phrymaceae. The record is from RefSeq and is a predicted model, not a curated record.